GACUCACUGGACGCUCUCAGACUCCCUAGCUCUAUGCACUCUUUUCCUGAGAUGGACUCUUUCUGGUGUCCAAAGAAAUAAGCAUCUAGAAGCUGACCUCCCAAGAAGAGAAGCCAAGAAGCACCACAGGGAAGUGAAAAAGCUUUGAGGAGGCUGGGGCCUGUGCCUGCGUCUGCACUGUCUCUAACAUUGCUUGAAAGGAGCACCAGGCCCCAGGCCUGGUGUCUCUGAGCUCUCUGUUGUUGGUAUGGGCCAAUAACUCAAAAAGCUGUAACACUAGUGGCCUGAGGAUGGACACAGUCUGCCAAUGCUCUCCAACAAUGCUGAAGACUACAGGACCUGUGUCAGGUCACCUCUGAGAGCUGUUAAUUGUCUGGCACUACCUCCCAGUCCUGUUGCCUCUGCUGCUGUCUUGUCCAGCAUCUGGUGCCAUCCAUCCCAACCUUCAGAUUGUUGCUGUGGGCUGUGGCGUCAUUUCAGUGACCCCACCUGUGAGCACCUCCAGCUGCAGUGAGUUGGAUCCUGGUCUGCUGUUUAUGGGCUGCCAGACCCACAUUGGUGGGACAGUGCCAUCUUGGAUAAGCAGCUUUUUGUUUAAGACUUUUGGACACUGUGGACACUAACUGGGGUUUCACCUGAGAAUCUUCCCUCAAUAAGCCACUUGCACAAGAAUCACCAUCUCAGACUCCGAAUCCAGGAAACACAAGAAGAUGGUUCCUCAAAGCAGAA
Talpa occidentalis (Iberian mole) is the source of this 729-nucleotide long non-coding RNA. RefSeq lists it as uncharacterized. The record is from RefSeq and is a predicted model, not a curated record. Lineage: Eukaryota; Metazoa; Chordata; Mammalia; Eulipotyphla; Talpidae. The transcript has 3 exons.